CUGCCCCUCACGAAAGUACCCGCCCGGCCGGAAGUGCGNNNNNNNNNNNNNNNNNNNNGGAGGGCGACGUGCCCCGAGGGGACACGCACGGCGCAAAAGCCACCCUCAGGCUGGCCCUUCGCCGCCCUCACGGCGUCCGUCGUGCUCCACCGACCCAGCCCGGACCGGGACUUGGGAAGGGGCCUGCGGAGAGCAAAGCGGUGUGGAGACGGUGUGGUAAGUUUUGGAUGGAUUUCACUUACAGCCACUGCUUCAGUGAAUACCUCGGAGAGGUCCAAAAUGCAGAUCUUCAGGAUGAUGUUUCCACUUGCAGUGUCCUUGAGAGGAGAUGAGUAAAAGCAAUCCGGUGAGCCUUGAAGAAAGCUUGGGCACUGCCCCUGUCAAUGUGGUUGCUGCUGACGAGGCAGGAGCACUUGAUGCUGCACCCAGCAGGCCUGGCUGUCCAGGGUGAGGGAUUCAUCAUUCCUGAGCGAUUCCUACAGACCUGCCAAUCCAUGUGCACCACCAGAUGGACAUCAGCGCAGACAGGAGAGCUUGCCUUCAGGUGCCUCCUUAGAGCUUGUCAGCGCUGGGGCCACGUGGAGCUCAGAAGUGUGAGACUGCCCCGAGGGAGAACAAGUGGAAGGAAGCGCCAGACAGUAAAUAUUGGGGCGCAUUUCUGCCAGGCUGUGGAGAUGCACAUACAACCCUGGCACGGCCACAUCAAGUUCCUUUCUGCUGCGCUGGCUGGGAAGCUGUCCGACAGAGCCACAGGUGCUCAGGCAGCAGGUCAGUGGCUUCCUGGAGAUGUGCAGGGCACUAAGUCCUUCACACAGGUAAAGGAGACGUUUUCCCUUGGGCUCUGAGCUUCCACCCUCAGCUGUGGCAGUGUGCCGUGGGCAGCUGCUGUGGACAGCAGGGCUUUGUCAGCCCUGUUUGUACUUCUGUCUGUGACACUGCCACUGCCAGGACAAACCCGUGACCGAGGCAGGAGCUGGCACACACAGACUUCCCACUUGCUCCCCAUUUCCUGUGUGGGUGCCCACUGCUCCUUAUCCCCUGGAGGAACAGAUUGCUCUGGAUAUCUUCAAUUUUUUCCUGAGAACCUUUGAUCCUCCAGGAGGAAGGUUUUGCCUAGCUCAUAACUGUUGCCCAGUGGGGCCUGGCUUCCCACGUUUCCCUGAUGCCAGGUGCCCUGCCUGCCCCUCUUUCCUGGUGCCCACUGCAGAAGGCUCCUUGCGGGCGGCCCUGGCACGCUGCCCUCCCUGUGAAGCUGGGGAAGCUGGCACAGCCCAGGACUGUGAUGAGGGAAACUCUGACCUGUCAGUUUGGUCUGUGACUGCCGGGACAUUUGGGUUUUCCGCCAGCCUUUUUUUAUUUUGGUUUGGGUUUGUCUGUUUGCUUGUAUGUCUAGGUUUGUUAGUGCUAGCUUGGUGAUUGCUUUGGUUCCUGUUGCAGUUUCUGCAGUGCAGGUCCCUACGGGAUCCCCAUUCCGGGAGUUUAGGGGAGGAGGUCCAUCCCUGUGUCCCCAGACGUGCUGUGGUCAAGCUCCCUCACCCCUGGGGCCUGAUGGUGAGGCUUUGCCUGGGGUAAUUCUUGUCCCCACAAGAUGGAACCACACCGGGUGUGAUAAUUCUUGCUCUCAGCACCCAGUGACUGUCUCAGGGGGACACUUGUUCCGGAGGCUCUUUCCAAGGCUUGUGCCCGGCUGAUGUUUCAUUCCCGGGGCAGCAGGGAAGAGCAGUGAUGCCUCUCAUAUGGAAAGGCGAGUGAAUGGCAGAACCGCACCGAUUUCAGCCGAGCCGAGCCCGGCCGAACCCGGCCUGCUGCUCUCUGGCCCAUUAAUUAGUGCGACUGCAGUCACAG
This 1845-nucleotide long non-coding RNA is filed under the name Serinus canaria (Common canary). Its description in RNAcentral is "lncRNA (ENSSCAG00000004847.1)". The record is from RNAcentral. Lineage: Eukaryota; Metazoa; Chordata; Aves; Passeriformes; Fringillidae.